AGAACCAACAAGAGAUCACCUGGAGAUUGGAGACUGAAGAAGCUGGUGGUGUAUUUCAAAAGCCUGAGAGGCAGAGGUGAAUGGUGUAGAUUUCAGUUUUAGUUUGAAGGCCUGAAAACCGGGAAUGCUAACGGCAGAAGAAGGAAUGUUCCAGCUCAAGCAGUCAAGCAGAAGAAAGAAAUUCCACUGAUUUUAUAUCUCUUUGCUCUGAUUUCUGUGACAUGGCUUUGGGGAGGACUACACAUGGCCUACAGACACUUCUGGAUGUUGGUUCUCUUUGUCAUUUUCAACAGUCUGCAGGGACUUUAUGUUUUCGUGGUUUAUUUCAUUUUACACAACCAAAUGUGUUGCCCUAUGAAGGCCAGUUACACUGUGGAAAUGAAUGGGCAUCCUGGACCCAGCACAGCCUUUUUCACGCCCGGGAGUGGAAUGCCUACUGCUGGAGGGGAAAUCAGCAAGUCCACCCAGAAUCUCAUCAGUGCUGUGGAGGAGGUGCCACCUGACUGGGAGAGAGCAUCCUUUCAACAGGCCAGUCAGGCCAGCCCUGAUUUAAAGCCAAGUCCACAAAAUGGAGCCAUGUUCCCGUCCUCUGGAGGAUAUGGCCAGGGGUCACUGAUAGCCGAUGAGGAGUCCCAGGAGUUUGAUGAUUUAAUAUUUGCAUUAAAAACUGGUGCUGGUCUCAGUGUCAGUGAUAAUGAAUCUGGUCAAGGCAGCCAGGAGGGGGGCACCUUGACUGACUCCCAGAUCGUGGAGCUCAGGAGGAUACCCAUCGCCGACACUCACCUCUAGCACCUCACUAACCAUUCGACUUAGCACACUUUCAUGUUUGUAUCAGCUUUUGUGCUAAAACUCUCUAAGUACGUCCACCUGUGUAAUAGGAACCUGUGAAUUGUACUGGAUGAUUAACACAAACGUGAUUGUUGUAUUUGGAGUAUAAAUUACUGAUUGUAUGUGACCUGAAAAUUCACUGCUAUAAGAAAGAUGGAGUCAGUUUGUAUCAGUUAAUAGGAUGUUCAUAUUCCAAGAAUAUUAGUUGUUUUUUUAAUCAUCCUAUAUGGCUAACAUUGUUUAAUGAAAGUAAUAAUCAAUAAAGCAAUAGAA
RNAcentral lists this small RNA (1101 nucleotides) under Pongo abelii (Sumatran orangutan). RNAcentral describes it as "processed transcript". Lineage: Eukaryota; Metazoa; Chordata; Mammalia; Primates; Hominidae. The record is from RNAcentral.